AUUGAACGCUGGCGGCAGGCCUAACACAUGCAAGUCGAGCGGAGCGGCGGACGGGUGAGUAAUGCAUAGGAAUCUGCCUGGGAGAGGGGGAUAACGUCCGGAAACGGGCGCUAAUACCGCAUACUAUCAGAUGAGCCGAGGUCGGAUUAGCUAGUUGGUGGGGGAAAGGCCUACCAAGGCGACGAUCAGUAAAGGGUCUGAGAGGAUGAUCAGUCACACUGGAACUGAGACACGGUCCAGACUCCUACGGGAGGCAGCAGUGGGGAAUAUUGGACAAUGGUCGAAAUCCUGAUCCAGCCAUGCCGCGUGUGUUAAGAAGGUCUUCGGAUUGUAAAGCACUUUAAGUUGGGAGGCGUUACCAACAGAAUAAGCACCGGCUAACUUCGUGCCAGCAGCCGCGGUAAUAC
This 407-nucleotide ribosomal RNA is filed under the name uncultured bacterium. RNAcentral describes it as "partial 16S ribosomal RNA". It matches the Rfam family "Bacterial small subunit ribosomal RNA", at positions 30 to 526 of the family's 1533-position model. The record is from RNAcentral.